GGUUCUAUAGUAUAAUAAAAACGCCAAAUUGCAAAUUUGGAAUUGUGUAACACACUAGAACUU
This 63-nucleotide transfer RNA is filed under the name Astacus astacus (noble crayfish). RNAcentral's name for it is "tRNA-Cys". Lineage: Eukaryota; Metazoa; Arthropoda; Malacostraca; Decapoda; Astacidae. The record is from RNAcentral.